UCGUCUCCCUGUUUCUCUUUCUUCUUCCUCAUUCAUUUUCUUCUCCUUUCAUCACUUUCCAUUUCUCUUUCUCCCCUUUCAACCAAGUUCUUCUUCCUUUUACAAAGCAACCAUCUCCUUCUUUUCUUUUGUGUUCAUAUUUCAACACGAAAAAUAAAGUAAUGGGCAUGGAAACAAGAUGAAAAAGGUGUACUUUGAUAAUAAAUUUUUGAUUUUUUUUAUCCAACAAUGCCUUUCUUUUUCCCUUAAAUUGAUUAGCUGAUUUGGUAUUGUUUCUGGUUUUGAUUCAAAGUAUAGAACUUUAUGUUAUUGUUAAGUGUAAAAUCUGAUUUUACCUUAUAUGUAUGAAAGUUGAAUACUUUGGAACUUUUUUAUGGUUGUUGGUUUUUGUAGGUGGUAAAGAUGUCUAGAGACCGAAGGCGUCGUGUUUAUUGAUUUUGUUCUUGAUGAUGUUUGGAAAGAAGUUGAAAACAGUAAUUGCUUGCAGGAUAUGGUUUUCAAACUUUUGCUAAUAAUUUUAGAGUUUUGUUGGUUUUUGAAAUUGAUGGGUAUGCUAGUGCCCUUUUGAAAUUUUGAAAUGUGUUUUAAAAAUAAAGUGAAAUUAUACUUGAAAUUGUGUGUAAUUUUGAAGUUGGAUCUAGCCUUUAAUGUCAUGUUGUUUAUUGGAAAUUGAUUUAUUCGUGUCCUUUUGAUGUGUUUUCAUCAACAACAAUUUGAUGUAACCAUUUCACUUGCUCUAACUGAUCGCGACUUUAU
RNAcentral lists this long non-coding RNA (756 nucleotides) under Lathyrus oleraceus (garden pea). Its description in RNAcentral is "Pisum sativum (pea) long non-coding RNA (PSAT_LNC008938)". Lineage: Eukaryota; Viridiplantae; Streptophyta; Magnoliopsida; Fabales; Fabaceae. The record is from RNAcentral.